RNAcentral lists this unclassified non-coding RNA (265 nucleotides) under Hevea brasiliensis (rubber tree). Lineage: Eukaryota; Viridiplantae; Streptophyta; Magnoliopsida; Malpighiales; Euphorbiaceae. The record is from RNAcentral.
AAAGCCAAUCCAAUGAGACAGGAGACAGGUAGUCAAAACAAGGGUAGAAAGGAGAAUCAUAGAAUGAAUAAAAGGUAAGGGUCGAAGGACUUUUUGAAAUCCGAUCGGUGUAAACAUGAUAUUCAUUUUUCUUUGUCCUUUCUUAGCUUCCCCCAAAAAAAAGAGAAACUUGUAGGAAAUCGCCGGUUGGAUUUGGUUAUCCAACCAGGAAAGGCAUGGGGCUUUUGGGCAUGGUAACUAAACACUUAGUUAGCGUUAGCUUUUU